AGGAUGAACGCUAGCGGCAGGCUUAAUACAUGCAAGUCGUGGGGCAGCAUGGUGUAGCAAUACACUGAUGGCGACCGGCAAACGGGUGCGGAACACGUACGCAACCUUCCUUUAACUGGAGAAUAGCCCGGGGAAACCCGGAUUAAUACUCCGUAACAUUAUGAAGUGGCAUCACUUUAUAAUUAUAGCUCCGGCGGUUGAAGAUGGGCGUGCGUCUGAUUAGGUAGUUGGCGGGGUAACGGCCCACCAAGCCUACGAUCAGUAACUGGUGUGAGAGCACGACCAGUCACACGGGCACUGAGACACGGGCCCGACUCCUACGGGAGGCAGCAGUAACGAAUCUUCCGCAAUGCACGAAAGUGUGACGGAGCGACGCCGCGUGUGGGAUGAAGUUCUUCGGAAUGUAAACCACUGUCAGGGGGAAGAAAGUUCUGAUCUACCCCAGAGGAAGAGACGGCUAACUCUGUGCCAGCAGCCGC
This 479-nucleotide ribosomal RNA is filed under the name uncultured bacterium. RNAcentral's name for it is "SSU rRNA". It matches the Rfam family "Bacterial small subunit ribosomal RNA", at positions 26 to 518 of the family's 1533-position model. The record is from RNAcentral.